UGGGGAAUAUUGCACAAUGGGGGAAACCCUGAUGCAGCGACGCCGCGUGAGUGAGGAAGUAUUUCGGUAUGUAAAGCUCUAUCAGCAGGGAAGAAAAUGACGGUACCUGACUAAGAAGCCCCGGCUAACUACGUGCCAGCAGCCGCGGUAAUACGUAGGGGGCAAGCGUUAUCCGGAUUUACUGGGUGUAAAGGGAGCGUAGACGGCGGAACAAGUCAGAAGUGAAAACCCGGGGCUCAACCCUGGGAGUGCUUUUGAAACUGUUUGGCUGGAGUGCAGGAGAGGUAAGCGGAAUUCCUAGUG
This 303-nucleotide ribosomal RNA is filed under the name uncultured bacterium. Its description in RNAcentral is "bacterial SSU rRNA". It matches the Rfam family "Bacterial small subunit ribosomal RNA", at positions 355 to 675 of the family's 1533-position model. The record is from RNAcentral.